CCGCGUCUCCGCUCCCGCGCUGCCGGCUUCCGCGGCUUCCCCCACUUCUCAGCCUGCUUCUCUCUCCCCUCUCCUUCCUUUCCUGUCCUUUCACACUCGCGCCCCAGCCCCCGUCCCAUCUUCCCCAAGGACUUGCAAACUUCGCCCCUGAGGAGCGGACUCUUCGGUUCUCCGUGGAAAAUCAACCAGACCCAAAACAGAGGUCCCGGGUUUGGGGAUACCACGCCGCGCGCCUGAGCAUCCGGGCUCCAUUUCUCCAGGCGACAUCUGCGGGAAGGGAGACCUAAAGGCCAAGGCUGGGGAAGAGAGAUCAUCCACUAAGGCCGGGGUUUCCGAGUGAGGCGCCCACUUCGCAUCCCACAGUACCGCCAGAAACCCAUCGGACCCACAAAGAUCAAAAUCUUCGGUAACACACCAAGCUGGCGACGCUGUGGGGAAGCAAGCACUCUCCCACGUGGCUGGCGCGCAGUGAGGGCGCAGGAAAGAAAAAGAAAAAAAAAGAAAAGGCAGAGCGGGGUGGCUCACACCUGUAAUCUCAACAGUUUAGGAGACCAAGGAGGGAGAAGCCCUAGCGGCCAGGAGUUCCAGAUCAGCCUGGGCAACAUAACGAGACCCUCCUCUCUGC
RNAcentral lists this long non-coding RNA (625 nucleotides) under Pan troglodytes (chimpanzee). RNAcentral describes it as "lincRNA". The record is from RNAcentral. Lineage: Eukaryota; Metazoa; Chordata; Mammalia; Primates; Hominidae.